AUUGAACGCUGGCGGCAGGCUUAACACAUGCAAGUCGAACGGUAACAGGUCUUCGGAUGCUGACGAGUGGCGAACGGGUGAGUAAUACAUCGGAACGUGCCUAGUAGUGGGGGAUAACUACUCGAAAGAGUGGCUAAUACCGCAUGAGAUCUACGGAUGAAAGCAGGGGAUCGCAAGACCUUGUGCUACUAGAGCGGCCGAUGGCCGAUUAGGUAGUUGGUGGGAUAAAAGCUUACCAAGCCGACGAUCUGUAGCUGGUCGGAGAGGACGACCAGCCACACUGGGACUGAGACACGGCCCAGACUCCUACGGGAGGCAGCAGUGGGGAAUUUUGGACAAUGGGCGAAAGCCUGAUCCAGCAAUGCCGCGUGCAGGAUGAAGGCCUUCGGGUUGUAAACUGCUUUUGUACGGAACGAAAAGCCCUGGGUUAAUACCCUGGGGUCAUGACGGUACCGUAAGAAUAAGCACCGGCUAACUACGUGCCAGCCGCCGCCGUAA
RNAcentral lists this ribosomal RNA (498 nucleotides) under uncultured bacterium. RNAcentral's name for it is "partial 16S ribosomal RNA". It matches the Rfam family "Bacterial small subunit ribosomal RNA", at positions 30 to 523 of the family's 1533-position model. The record is from RNAcentral.